This 287-nucleotide ribosomal RNA is filed under the name Salmonella enterica subsp. enterica serovar Virchow. RNAcentral's name for it is "partial 16S ribosomal RNA". It matches the Rfam family "Bacterial small subunit ribosomal RNA", at positions 472 to 758 of the family's 1533-position model. The record is from RNAcentral. Lineage: Bacteria; Pseudomonadati; Pseudomonadota; Gammaproteobacteria; Enterobacterales; Enterobacteriaceae.
ACGUUACCCGCAGAAGAAGCACCGGCUAACUCCGUGCCAGCAGCCGCGGUAAUACGGAGGGUGCAAGCGUUAAUCGGAAUUACUGGGCGUAAAGCGCACGCAGGCGGUCUGUCAAGUCGGAUGUGAAAUCCCCGGGCUCAACCUGGGAACUGCAUUCGAAACUGGCAGGCUUGAGUCUUGUAGAGGGGGGUAGAAUUCCAGGUGUAGCGGUGAAAUGCGUAGAGAUCUGGAGGAAUACCGGUGGCGAAGGCGGCCCCCUGGACAAAGACUGACGCUCAGGUGCGAAA